AGCUAGUGAUGACAGCUUCUUAUUUUUCUGACACCUCGUAUGAGAGCUUCCAGCUCCUGAUUCUAGGCUUUUACCUGAGGCUG
Small nucleolar RNA from Girardinichthys multiradiatus, 83 nucleotides. RefSeq annotates it as small nucleolar RNA SNORD60. The record is from RefSeq and is a predicted model, not a curated record. The transcript has a single exon. Lineage: Eukaryota; Metazoa; Chordata; Actinopteri; Cyprinodontiformes; Goodeidae.